Molecule: ribosomal RNA, 497 nt
Filed under: uncultured bacterium
Lineage: Bacteria
Description: partial 16S ribosomal RNA
Rfam family: Bacterial small subunit ribosomal RNA
Source: RNAcentral
GAUGAACGCUGGCGGCGUGCCUAAUACAUGCAAGUCGAGCGAACAGAUGAGGAUCUUGCUCCUCUUACGUUAGCGGCGGACGGGUGAGUAACACGUGGAUAACCUACCUAUAAGACUGGGAUAACUUCGGGAAACCUGAGCUAAUACCGGUUAAUAGAUUGAACCGCAUGGUUCAAUAGUGAAAGACGGUUUUGCUGUCACUUAUACAUGUUUCCUCGCCGCAUUAGCUGGUUGGUAAGGUAACGGCUUACCAAGGCAACGAUGCGUAGCCGACCUGAGAGGGUGAUCGGCCACACUGGAACUGAGACACGGUCCAGACUCCUACGGGAGGCAGCAGUAGGGAAUAUUCCGCAAUGGGCGAAAGCCUGACGGAGCCACGCCGCGUGAGUGAUGAAGGUCUUCGGAUCGUAAAACUCUGUUAUUAGGGAAGAACAACUGUGUAAGUAACUAUGCCCGUCUUGACGGUACCUACUCAGAAAGCACCGGCUAACUACGUG